GUGGGGAAUAUUGGGCAAUGGGCGAAAGCCUGACCCAGCAACGCCGCGUGAAGGAAGAAGGUCUUCGGAUCGUAAACUUCUAUCCUUGGUGAAGAUAAUGACGGUAGCCGAGAAGGAAGCCCCGGCUAACUACGUGCCAGCAGCCGCGGUAAUACGUAGGGGGCAAGCGUUGUCCGGAAUGAUUGGGCGUAAAGGGCGCGUAGGCGGCCUGGUAAGUCUGGAGUGAAAGUCCUGCUUUUAAGGUGGGAAUUGCUUUGGAUACUGUCGGGCUUGAGUGCAGGAGAGGUAAGUGGAAUUCCCGGUGUAGCGGUGAAAUGCGUAGAGAUCGGGAGGAACACCAGUGGCGAAGGCGACUUACUGGACUGUAACUGACGCUGAGAUGCGAAAGCCAGGGUAGCGAACGGGAUUAGAUACCCGAGUAGUCC
This 425-nucleotide ribosomal RNA is filed under the name uncultured bacterium. RNAcentral's name for it is "partial 16S ribosomal RNA". It matches the Rfam family "Bacterial small subunit ribosomal RNA", at positions 354 to 796 of the family's 1533-position model. The record is from RNAcentral.